Abrus precatorius (Indian licorice) is the source of this 441-nucleotide RNA transcript. It is a transcript of the gene named 40S ribosomal protein S28, with no coding region annotated. Lineage: Eukaryota; Viridiplantae; Streptophyta; Magnoliopsida; Fabales; Fabaceae. The transcript has 4 exons. The record is from RefSeq and is a predicted model, not a curated record.
UUGCCCAUAACCAGGAUGGAUUCUCAGGUAAAGCAUGCUGUUGUAGUCAAAGUUAUGGGUCGAACUGGGUCAAGAGGGCAAGUGACUCAGGUUAGAGUGAAGUUUUUGGAUGAUCAGAACCGUCACAUCAUGAGGAAUGUGAAGGGACCAGUGAGAGAAGGAGACAUUCUCACUCUUCUGGAGUCUGAAAGAGAAGCAAGAAGGUUGCGCUGAGGGUCUCUGGAUGUGUUGUUCGGCUCAGGAUACACACUGUGGUGAAACAUUCCUCUUUUUGUGGUAGUUAUGAAUUUUGAUGUUAUUGUGAUCGAGUAAAAUUGUGUUUUUAUUUUCUAUAUAAUGCUUUUCCUUCUUUUUUUGUUUGUUUUUAGAUGUAGUCAGAGCGAUUACUUUGAUAUAACUUUGCGAAUGGUUGUCAUCUAAACUUUGUCAUGUUUUUGGAAU